RNAcentral lists this ribosomal RNA (532 nucleotides) under Cantharellus tenuithrix. Its description in RNAcentral is "partial 12S small subunit ribosomal RNA". It matches the Rfam family "Bacterial small subunit ribosomal RNA", at positions 351 to 952 of the family's 1533-position model. Lineage: Eukaryota; Fungi; Basidiomycota; Agaricomycetes; Cantharellales; Hydnaceae. The record is from RNAcentral.
GCAGUCCAAGAAUAUUAGUCAAUGCUCGCAAGAGUGAACGAGCUAACUGAAAGAAUAUAUAAUCUAAAGUUAGGAAUCUUAUAAUUAUUAUUAUAAGUUUAAAUACGAAUCUAACUAACAGUGUCGUCCAAAUUCUGGUGCCAGAAGACUCGGUAAUACCAGAGACGCGAACGUUAAUCAUCUUGAAUGGGCAUAAAGGGUUUGUAGGCGGCUUAUUUAUUAAUAGGCUAGAAUCUUAUAGAGGUUAAUAAAAUACUUAGAGGAGGGCUGAUAUCCUUAGAUCCUAAGUGGAAUCCUAAUUGCGAAGGCCAUUUUCCACUACAGAUUGACGCUGAUACACGAAGGUUAGGAUAGGAACUAGGAUUAGAGACCCUAUUACCCCUAACUGUAAACGAUGAAUGGAAGAUAUUUACAACUGUAAGUGUCGAAGUGAAUACGAUAACCAUUCCGCCUUGCUAGUAUACUUGCAAAAGUGAAAACAAAAAAAUUAGUCGGUCCUAAAGCAAACGAAGUGAAGCAUGUUAUUUAAUUC